GAUGAACGCUGGCGGCGUGCUUAACACAUGCAAGUCGAGCGAAGCGCUUAAGUCUGAUUCUUCGGAUGAAGACUUUUGUGACUGAGCGGCGGACGGGUGAGUAACGCGUGGGUAACCUGCCUCAUACAGGGGGAUAACAGUUAGAAAUGACUGCUAAUACCGCAUAAGACCACGGUACCGCAUGGUGCAGUGGUAAAAACUCCGGUGGUAUGAGAUGGACCCGCGUCUGAUUAGGUAGUUGGUGGGGUAACGGCCUACCAAGCCGACGAUCAGUAGCCGACCUGAGAGGGUGACCGGCCACAUUGGGACUGAGACACGGCCCAGACUCCUACGGGAGGCAGCAGUGGGGAAUAUUGCACAAUGGAGGAAACUCUGAUGCAGCGACGCCGCGUGAAGGAUGAAGUAUUUCGGUAUGUAAACUUCUAUCAGCAGGGAAGAAAAUGACGG
Molecule: ribosomal RNA, 447 nt
Filed under: uncultured bacterium
Lineage: Bacteria
Description: bacterial SSU rRNA
Rfam family: Bacterial small subunit ribosomal RNA
Source: RNAcentral